RNAcentral lists this ribosomal RNA (978 nucleotides) under Klebsiella pneumoniae. Its description in RNAcentral is "bacterial SSU rRNA". It matches the Rfam family "Bacterial small subunit ribosomal RNA", at positions 67 to 1033 of the family's 1533-position model. The record is from RNAcentral. Lineage: Bacteria; Pseudomonadati; Pseudomonadota; Gammaproteobacteria; Enterobacterales; Enterobacteriaceae.
CGGUAGCACAGAGAGCUUGCUCUCGGGUGACGAGCGGCGGACGGGUGAGUAAUGUCUGGGAAACUGCCUGAUGGAGGGGGAUAACUACUGGAAACGGUAGCUAAUACCGCAUAAUGUCGCAAGACCAAAGUGGGGGACCUUCGGGCCUCAUGCCAUCAGAUGUGCCCAGAUGGGAUUAGCUAGUAGGUGGGGUAACGGCUCACCUAGGCGACGAUCCCUAGCUGGUCUGAGAGGAUGACCAGCCACACUGGAACUGAGACACGGUCCAGACUCCUACGGGAGGCAGCAGUGGGGAAUAUUGCACAAUGGGCCCAAGCCUGAUGCAGCCAUGCCGCGUGUGUGAAGAAGGCCUUCGGGUUGUAAAGCACUUUCAGCGGGGAGGAAGGCGAUGAGGUUAAUAACCUCGUCGAUUGACGUUACCCGCAGAAGAAGCACCGGCUAACUCCGUGCCAGCAGCCGCGGUAAUACGGAGGGUGCAAGCGUUAAUCGGAAUUACUGGGCGUAAAGCGCACGCAGGCGGUCUGUCAAGUCGGAUGUGAAAUCCCCGGGCUCAACCUGGGGAACUGCAUUCGAAACUGGCAGGCUAGAGUCUUGUAGAGGGGGGGUAGAAUAACCAGGUGUAGCGGUGAAAUGCGUAGAGAUCUGGAGGAAUACCGGUGGCGAAGGCGGCCCCCUGGACAAAGACUGACGCUCAGGUGCGAAAGCGUGGGGAGCAAACAGGAUUAGAUACCCUGGUAGUCCACGCCGUAAACGAUGUCGAUUUGGAGGUUGUGCCCUUGAGGCGUGGCUUCCGGAGCUAACGCGUUAAAUCGACCGCCUGGGGAGUACGGCCGCAAGGUUAAAACUCAAAUGAAUUGACGGGGGCCCGCACAAGCGGUGGAGCAUGUGGUUUAAUUCGAUGCAACGCGAAGAACCUUACCUGGUCUUGACAUCCACAGAACUUUCCAGAGAUGGAUUGGUGCCUUCGGGAACUGUGAG